UUUGAAUUUUGACCCAGAUAAUGGGUCGGACUGUGUCGCGAUUGUGUAUGAAAUUUUAGCGCCAUUCAGCAAGCCACGUCUCUUUCGAACUGCACUCAGAUUCAAUAGGCUUACAUGAAGAACUACCCGUCAGCAAGAGCAUCAGAUGUCCAGGAAUUGAUUGGGGAAACCAGGCGGAACACGCUAUAAGGAACCAAUUGCUAAGAGGGUACAAGAAGCAGUGCCGGACAUGCCAGGGACCCAGAAGCAACGUUCAGUAGUUUAGAAUAAACAAAGUUAACAAUCAAUUCUUCACUUUUUGAUAUACUUGUACAUGCAUCUUUUAUUUUCUAUUUUUAUUUUUUUAUAAAACUUUCAUGGGUGGGUGUUUAGCUAGUCAGAUACAUAUUCAGAACAUGAACAUGC
Molecule: long non-coding RNA, 405 nt
Organism: Mytilus californianus (California mussel)
Lineage: Eukaryota; Metazoa; Mollusca; Bivalvia; Mytilida; Mytilidae
Exons: 3
Source: RefSeq, a predicted model, not a curated record